GGGGAACCUGUGGCUGGAUCACCUCCUUUCUGGAGACCCUGAAGAGAUUCUUCGGAAUCCCUUCUAGUCUUUAGGUCAAACACGAUGACUUCGGUCGUCGUUGACACUCAAAGUUUUCCAUCAUCUCGGUAUUGCUGUUCGGCUUUGAGCGACCGACGCUGUUCUCUCUAUUGGAAAGCAGCUCGGGCCAGUAGCUCAGUUGGUUAGAGCACACGCUUGAUAAGCGUGGGGUCGAAAGUUCAAAUCUUUCCUGGCCCACCGCUUAUCAAACGGGCGCUCGAGCCCUCUGGCAUGGCACGGGUGGGCGGCGGGAGAGGGGCGUUAGCUCAGCUGGGAGAGCAUCGGCUUUGCAAGCCGGGGGUCAAGGGUUCGAUCCCCUUACGCUCCACAGGCCUCCGGAAGCACGAAUCGGUGGUGCAGCGAACUUGACGGAGAACUGAAGUCGUUUAACGAUUCUCAGUCCUGCGUCGAGGGUGUUUCACUCUCGGAUCUCUGAAAACCAAAUAGACGACGACGACGCGAAAGCGUGUCUUGAGAAAACGAGCGUCAAUUGGAUCAGGUCGCGGUUCCUUAACGGAGCUUCGAUCUCGACUUCUGUAAACGGCGUAUCGAUACGAAUAUUAGUGGCGGGUGGCAAAGAGCUUCGGCUCUGCGCUGUCUGUAACUACCAACAAGAUUUGUGGAGACCUCCUCAAUAGGCCUUCGGGUCUGUUCGGGAGCCACGCCAAGUUGGUGGUCAAGCUACUAAGGGCGCAC
This 756-nucleotide transfer RNA is filed under the name uncultured bacterium. RNAcentral describes it as "partial may contain 16S ribosomal RNA, 16S-23S ribosomal RNA intergenic spacer, and 23S ribosomal RNA". The stretch from base 185 to 258 matches the Rfam family "tRNA". The record is from RNAcentral.